CCGUAUCCCGAAGAAUCCCUAAUUUUUUUCAGGAUAAAAACUACCCUAUAUGUUAAGUCUAACCAGAGCAU
Molecule: long non-coding RNA, 71 nt
Organism: Maniola jurtina (meadow brown)
Lineage: Eukaryota; Metazoa; Arthropoda; Insecta; Lepidoptera; Nymphalidae
Exons: 3
Source: RefSeq, a predicted model, not a curated record